CCUAUUACCGGACCAUCGAGGAGCUGCGCAGCAAGAUUCUUGCCGCAACUGUGGAGAAUGCCAACAUUGUCCUGCAGAUUGACAAUGCCAGGCUGGCAGCUGAUGACUUCAGAACCAAGUUUGAGACGGAGCAGGCCCUGCG
Coturnix japonica (Japanese quail) is the source of this 142-nucleotide non-coding RNA. The record is from RefSeq and is a predicted model, not a curated record. NCBI's taxonomy places the organism in Eukaryota, Metazoa, Chordata, Aves, Galliformes, Phasianidae.